RNAcentral lists this long non-coding RNA (272 nucleotides) under Homo sapiens (human). RNAcentral describes it as "HSALNT0176186". The record is from RNAcentral. Lineage: Eukaryota; Metazoa; Chordata; Mammalia; Primates; Hominidae.
UUUGGACUUUUCCACUUUCCUUCAGGUCCUUCGAUAUUCACAUCGGGACAUUCAACAUCCACUUUCGGUCCUGAGACAUCAAUGUCAGCCUUGGGCAGCUUCACAUCCCCAUCUGGGCCCUCUCCUUUGAAGCCAGGCAUGCUGAACUUUGGCAUUUUCACCUUGGGCAUCUUCAGGUGCCAGUCUGGGCCUUGAACACCCACAUCUGGGGCAUUAAUAUCCACUUUGGGCCCCUUGAUGUCAACUUCGGGGCCCUUGAGGUCACCUUCCAC